This 253-nucleotide ribosomal RNA is filed under the name uncultured bacterium. Its description in RNAcentral is "partial 16S ribosomal RNA". It matches the Rfam family "Bacterial small subunit ribosomal RNA", at positions 524 to 776 of the family's 1533-position model. The record is from RNAcentral.
UACAGAGGGUGCAAGCGUUGUUCGGAAUUACUGGGCGUAAAGCGCGCGUAGGCGGCUUUGUAAGUUAGAGGUGAAAGCCCGGGGCUCAACCCCGGAACUGCCUUUAAGACUGCAUCGCUUGAAUCCAGGAGAGGUGAGUGGAAUUCCGAGUGUAGAGGUGAAAUUCGUAGAUAUUCGGAAGAACACCAGUGGCGAAGGCGGCUCACUGGACUGGUAUUGACGCUGAGGUGCGAAAGCGUGGGGAGCAAACAGG